AGCUUAGUAGUAAUGACCACCACCAUUAUUAUUACCGACACUACGCAUGUUGGGGCAGGCUGCUGAGCGUAAAAAUUCACAAAAAAAGGCCUGUAUCCCAACCGGUACAGGCCUUUUUUUA
This is a non-coding RNA of Vibrio cincinnatiensis DSM 19608, 121 nucleotides long. The record is from Rfam. Lineage: Bacteria; Pseudomonadati; Pseudomonadota; Gammaproteobacteria; Vibrionales; Vibrionaceae.